GGUAAGAGCCAUCGUGCGGUGGCUGUAGCCUGGUUCCUUGGCGUGCCCAGCGUGCGGGUGCUCCUUAUUGUCUCUAGCUCCCUUUGCAAAGAUACAGGCCAGGGGAAUUGCAGGUAAGAUCCUUGUGUAGAGGGAUUUCCUCAAGGCAUUUGCAAGAUCCAGAGCAGGAGUUCUUAACGUGAGUGAUGGACUUUUUUGGGGUGUUUGAAGUCUAUG
This 216-nucleotide long non-coding RNA is filed under the name Vombatus ursinus (common wombat). Its description in RNAcentral is "lncRNA (ENSVURG00010004889.1)". Lineage: Eukaryota; Metazoa; Chordata; Mammalia; Diprotodontia; Vombatidae. The record is from RNAcentral.